Non-coding RNA from Rattus norvegicus (Norway rat), 5230 nucleotides. The record is from RefSeq and is a predicted model, not a curated record. NCBI's taxonomy places the organism in Eukaryota, Metazoa, Chordata, Mammalia, Rodentia, Muridae.
AGCAGGACAUAUCCCCAGAGGUGAUCCAGUCUAGAAGGGACAACAGGCAGGAGAGAUGGUGAUUAUGAUGAGGCCUGAGUGUUAGAUUGCUGCUGGAUAACAUCUGUAUAAUAUGUUAAUGACUUUCUCUUGUAUUUUAACGUUUUCUACUAAGGAACUGUUUCCUCUGGGAGGUUUUUACCAUAACUCAAAAGCAAAGCUUUGCAUUUGCGAGGGAAGAUUUUUGAAGCCCAGGGCAAAUUACAGCCAUGAAUGUGUUUGCUCACCUUGGAACUGAAAACAGCUUUAUCAGAAGCUCUAGGUACAAGGAAGCCCAGGUGUUUAUGAUCUAUGGGGGCUUGAUAUUUAUCUAAGAAUUAAGAGGAAAGUGAAAAGAACUUCUGAUUUGAAGAGAUAAAAGAUGAAGGAGACAGACUGAUCACGGGCCUCUGAGUAUGUUCUCAGCACAGGGGCCAGGCGUGUGGGUGGUGGCAGGCAGAUUUCACCACAAUCAAUAACACAGUAAAAAUCUCAGCCAUGUUGAGGUAAAAUCCACAAGCAGCUGUCCUAUUCUCUCUUCCCCAGGCUGUCCAGUUAGCCUGGGGACAGCAGAACAAGGCCAUCUGGCAAAAGUAUUUGCAAAGAUGGGCGUGGUAUUAUGCACCCAACUUUCUCUUGGCACUUAUAUCAUGCGGAGGGAAUCUGGACAGUCCUGGAUAUUUCAGAAAAUGCAGACCAUUAACGCUGCUUGACGAAUUUAUUCCAUCUAAAUAUUUGUCAGACCUCAGAGGGAGGAGUCGCUGGGAAUCUGAGGCAACAGAGACAGCAUGGGGUGGAGCCUGCUAAACCGGAGGUGAUAGACGUACUUUCGGAGAGAUGUCACCAUGCAUUAUAUCGUGGAAGGGCACCCUUGUUCCAAAAGCCACAUAAAUGCUCAAGUCUAUGUGAACAGAGACCACUCAGGGAGCAGCGAAGAUGUAGCCAAAGUGCCCAAGCACGCAGAGGACAAUAUGCAAGUCAUUCACCUUAGCAUGCCCAGGGCACUUCCGCUUACUCAGGCCUUUCCUGAAGGCACAUCCUGUCACUCGCUGAGAUAAGAGGGUAUUUGUAAUGACUAGUCAUUUAUCUAAAGGACAGUUAUACUGAGGGUAGGUGUGUACUGUUUUCUAGAACUGGCAGAAAUUCUAAAGUGAAGCAAAAUUAAUCUUUAAAAGAAAGUCUGAACAGAGCAUGCGCGCGCGGCCUCGGUGCCCAGCGGCUAACCAAAGGUCCUCAACUCAAGGCCCAGAAAUCAACUGUGCAGUGGUGGGAGCACAUCGAACAUAGAGUGUUCCCAGCUGCGGGCGUGAAAGACUUCCUACGGAAAUAAUAUUCGAGGUGAAUUGAAGUUGGAGUAUAUUUCAGAAAGUUGAAAAAAAAAAAAAAGCCUCCUGAGUCAAGGGAUAUGGGUACAGAACGUUCUGGAAACCGACGCCAUUUUAGAAAAGUACAGAGGGUGGUGGGGAAGAUGGUUUACUCAGGGAAGUGCGGUGCGAGUACCUGCGCUCCCAUCCUAUGUCCACAUAAAAAGACUGAUAGACAGGCGGGUGCAUACCUGCGACCCCAGAGGAGGAUCCCCAGGGCCCACGGACUUGUCAGUCUAGCAAAAUCAGCUCAGGUUCAGCAAGACAACCUGUCUUCAAAAAUAUGACUGAGGGUGAUUGAGGAAGAUACCCACAGUGACCUCUGGCCUCCAUACCUGCGUGCACAUGAGCACCCACCGGUGUCUGCAUGUGUACAUAUGUGAAUACAUGCAGACACACACCAAAAGAAAAAAGUAGUUUCAAGAGUGGCCAUUUUGAGCAGGUAGACAGCAAUCUACUGCCUUAGCUCUGAGUGGUUGGGAGGCAGAAGGAGGGGGAAGGGGCAGGGGACAGCCCCGCCCCGUUCUCUAAGGCCUCUGCACUCUGCAGCAGGGACGCAGGACCCUGGUAUACUUCCUACAGUGGUGCAAUUUGCUCAUUAAGGCACCCCACUGGCAUCCUAGUUGGGAGGCACCUCCUUAAUUUCACAGGAAGACUUCAUGUAAAUUAACAGAGAGCUUUUGAAUGUGGCCAGCUUGGCAAUGCCUCGGGAGUUAAAGGCUUUGGACUUGAAGAACAGAAGGGAGCUACUGAAGGUCGCUGAGCAGGGGCUGGCAUAGCAAGAGCAGUCAUUCCCACAGCAGCUGUACGAAGGCCAGAGUGGAGUCAAGAGACUCCAGAAAUUACCAUCUCUGUCCAGGCAUGGAGCCUCGAUGGUAUCCAUGGCAACAGAAAGAAGACGAUACGAAAAUUAUUUUGAAAGCAGAAACAACAGGACUUGAUUACUGAUUGGAUAUGGGUGUGUGGAGGAGGCAGGAGCGAUGAAUGACUCAGGGGUUUUGUGCUUUGGAGGCUUGUGGGAAUAAAUCUGAAAUAGGAACGCUAAUCAGAGAUGCUGCUGUGAGACAGGAAAAGGAGAGCGUGGUUUGAGGCGCUGGAUUUCACAUAAUGACGGAAUACUUAAGUAGAAAUGUUCUCUGUACACCAGAAAGGAUAUGGUUUUCCCCCCCUCUGCUUCUCUAGCUUUUAAUGCAUAUGAGAAGCCCUUUUGGAAGGAGGGGAUCUAGGGAAUAAAUUCGUUGCUUCUCUUACUUCUAAUAAGCUACGGCAGAAGGCCUUCAUCGGCACCUUUGGCUUUGUCUUCAUGCGAACACAAAGAAUUAUUCAGCACCUAUUUGUGCCUGAUGGUUGAACAGACAUGAUUCACAGUAACAGCUUUUGAACCUGAGAGGGCUCCAGGCCGAGAGAGCUGACAUUUACAAGACCAGCCCUCAGAGAAAACAGGAGGGCAGUACUCACUGAACCACGGCUGUGCGAGGUUAAAGGUCAUGCUCACGUGCUACACGGAGAAACCAUGGAGAGGGAGGGAUAUGGUCCAAAUCAGAACAGUGGGGACCAGGGUACUGGGAGUUUGAGAUAAAAAAAAAAAUUACCUAGAAUUCUUUUUCUUUUUCUUUUUGGAUAGAACUAGUGUGCGUCAUCCUUUCCUUGGGAAAGAAAAGUAGACUUCCAAUCUAUAGUUAUUAAUUUAAUUAACCUAUGAUCCAACCAAUUCUGUAACAUCCAAAGUACCGUGCGGCUGACCUUCGGGAAUGCUGGGCCUCAUAUCUAAAUCCCCGAGAAAGUCCACAGUGUUUUAUGAUGAAAUUUAGUUGCUUAUUAAACAUAUCAGAGAGUUAGAACCCCCAAAAGAGGACUUGUGGGGACAGCAUCUCCCACAAGCUUCCUUUCCCAUCUAGGACACAGUCCCACUAUAUGAAAGAUUCAGGCAGAUCUCCUCGCCGUCCCGUGGGAGCAGCGCAAGCCUCCACACAUGUAUUUCUAUUUAGUCGCUGAGUUCCUGGGUUGCACGAAGGACUUGCUGAGCCCUAUCAACUGGAUGGAGCAGCGCUGUGCACUGGGACACUGGUCAGGCUCUGGGCGUGCCGUUCUCUUUCACCCCUCUGCCUAUGAGCUGUUAGGGAGAGUUGGUGAAGCCAUGUGUGGAUGCUGAGGAGAUUAAAAGGCUCCAAGGCACCACCCCCAGAGCCUGCUGGGAAGAGUGGGGGUCCCGUUCUCCUGUGCUGGCGCCAGUAGGGUUUCCGAUCUGACCUAAGAACUAGUGGGAUUAACUUUCUCUGUAAGGGGUAGGCACCGAAUCUUCACGGUCAACCUUUACAUAACCUGUUUCCCUUCACUACCUCAGAGGGACUUUCCUAAAGCAAGGAUCCUUGUCUUUGCAGCCUCCUCGCUGUACACAAGCUUGGUUUCUUUUCUCCCCGGCAGCUUCCUCCAGAGCCUCGGCCUCACCAGCAUCCUCUGACUCACAGUUUCGUUUCUCGUAAGUGGAUGCUGAGAGCCGUCGCUCUCUCUAUUGGAGUGAUGGACUAAAAACAUUCAAGAGAGAAAAACAACUGACACAGUCACACUUGAACCAUGUGGGAUGCUCCCCAUCUCCCAGCUUUUCCUGUCUUUCUCCUUGGCUGUCUACUCGUCAACCUGCUUGUCACAGUGGUUGUCAACCUGUCAGGUGUCUACACAGAAAACACUCUCAGAAGAUAAACUAUUGACCCUGUACCUGUAAAGGGUAGAAGUGACCACUGCUCAUCACAAUGGAUUAAGGUUCACAACGCCCAAGUCCCUUGCAUGUUAAACAUCUACUCCAUGGGCAGAUGUUGCUCACCCUUCUUCACAGUCUCUACGGCUAUUCCAGCUCUCUCUCUCUCUCUCUCUCUCUCUCUCUCUCUCUCUCUCCUUCCCUUCCUCCCUCUCUGUCUCUCUCCCUCCCUCUCUGUCUCUCUCCCUCUCUCUCUGUCUCUCUCCUCAUAUUAUUAUUCCUAUGCUCUGCCUAUUUCUAGUACUCUGAGUAAUAAUGCCUUUAGUUUUAGCCUGAAUAGUUUUGUGUGUUCUAUGAAAAGCAUCUAAGAAACUAGCCAGCUAAUAUAUUCACUUACAAGUGGGGGGGGGGAGCUCAAUCCCUCACAGUUCUUGACAUUUUUUUCAGCUGUCAGUAAGAACAUUAGGCAGAUGAAAACUUAGAGGCUAAACUUUCCGCUCCAUCAACAUCUUGAAAUGGUUAACUCCCCUCUCCACUCUCUCCACUCCCGCCCACCUCUCUCUAGUCUAAUGUACCUUCCUGGCCUCCAUAAUGAUGGGCUGUAAUAGCCCAUUUAUUCAGUAGAGUGGUUUCUAAAACCCAUUUCCAGAUUACAGCCGGUGUGCCAGGACUGCGUUUAUUUUCAUUACUAGAGAAAGGGUGGCUCGGCCUGGUAACGCUGACUUUUCAAUAGCUCCAUCAGAAAGCGCUCUGACCACCUUCUCACCACUCACCAAAUGCUGCAGAGUCCUCCUGAAACAUUCCCCUUCCUUCACACCAUGAACAAAAGUGUCACCAUAUAGUGAACCCCACUGUUCAAGCUCCUCAGUCGGUCAGACAGCAGCGGCUGGAAGGUUUGUAGAAAGUUCUUCUCUCUGUUCUGGCUUGUCUCUACCAGAAAGCCAUCUCAGACUCAAGACAGUGUACUCUCCUACCCUCUAAAACCUCUGGCCUGGAGAGGACUCAAAGAUCGAAGAGUUCAAAUCAAUCAAGCCAGCAACAUUUUAAUAUGACUGAUUCACAGUGAUAGUCUAAAGAAACAGAUAUCUGUCAUUUCAGGUUAAUUCAAUAAAUACAUGAAUAAAUGAUAAUUAUGUGUUGGAUGACAAAAAAG